CCUACGGGAGGCAGCAGUGAGGAAUAUUGGUCAAUGGGCGCAAGCCUGAACCAGCCAUGCCGCGUGCAGGAUGACGGUCCUAUGGAUUGUAAACUGCUUUUGUACAGGAAGAAACACUCCCUCGUGAGGGAGCUUGACGGUACUGUAAGAAUAAGGAUCGGCUAACUCCGUGCCAGCAGCCGCGGUAAUACGGAGGAUCCAAGCGUUAUCCGGAAUCAUUGGGUUUAAAGGGUCCGUAGGCGGUUUUAUAAGUCAGUGGUGAAAUCUGGUCGCUCAACGAUCAAACGGCCAUUGAUACUGUAAGACUUGAAUUACUUGGAAGUAACUAGAAUAUGUAGUGUAGCGGUGAAAUGCUUAGAGAUUACAUGGAAUACCAAUUGCGGAGGCAGGUUACUACAAGUAUAUUGACGCUGAUGGACGAAAGCGUGGGGAGCGAACAGGAUUAGAUACCCUGGUAGUCCACGCCGUAAACGAUGGAUACUAGCUGUUUGGAGCAAUCUGAGUGGCUAAGCGAAAGUGAUAAGUAUCCCACCUGGGGAGUACGCUCGCAAGAGUGAAACGUCAAAUGAAUUGACGG
RNAcentral lists this ribosomal RNA (577 nucleotides) under uncultured bacterium. Its description in RNAcentral is "bacterial SSU rRNA". It matches the Rfam family "Bacterial small subunit ribosomal RNA", at positions 338 to 916 of the family's 1533-position model. The record is from RNAcentral.